GACGAACGCUGACAGAAUGCCUAACACAUGCAAGUCGAGGGGGAAGUGGUGCUUGCACCAUGGUCACCAUGGCGGACGGGUGAGUAACACGUAAGGAACUUACCUGCGGGACCGGGAUAACAGCAGGAAACUGCUGACAAGAACGGCCAAGGUCAUUAAGCUGCAUAGCUUAUUGAUGAAAGGAGACGCCUGCGGAGGGCCUUGCGUCCUAUUCGCUAGUUGGAGGGUUAACGGCCCACCAAGGCGAGGCUAGGUAGCCGGCCGGAGAGGGUGCACGGCCACAAGGGGACGGGGGGACGGACCAGAGACCUACGGGAGGCAGCAGUAAGGAAGAUUGGACAAUGGGGGGAGACCGGAUCCAGCUAUUCGGUGUGCACGAAGUCGUUGUUCGGAUGGUAGAGGGCUUUCAUCAAAAGAGAAGGAAGUGACGGUACCUGCAGAAAAAGCGACGGCUAAAUACGUG
Molecule: ribosomal RNA, 463 nt
Filed under: uncultured bacterium
Lineage: Bacteria
Description: partial 16S ribosomal RNA
Rfam family: Bacterial small subunit ribosomal RNA
Source: RNAcentral